GUGGGUAGUUUGACUGGGGCGGUCUCCUCCUAAAGAGUAACGGAGGAGCACGAAGGUUGGCUAAUCCUGGUCGGACAUCAGGAGGUUAGUGCAAUGGCAUAAGCCAGCUUGACUGCGAGCGUGACGGCGCGAGCAGGUGCGAAAGCAGGUCAUAGUGAUCCGGUGGUUCUGAAUGGAAGGGCCAUCGCUCAACGGAUAAAAGGUACUCCGGGGAUAACAGGCUGAUACCGCCCAAGAGUUCAUAUCGACGGCGGUGUUUGGCACCUCGAUGUCGGCUCAUCACAUCCUGGGGCUGAAGUAGGUCCCAAGGGUAUGGCUGUUCGCCAUUUAAAGUGGUACGCGAGCUGGGUUUAGAACGUCGUGAGACAGUUCGGUCCCUAUCUGCCGUGGGCGCUGGAGAACUGAGGGGGGCUGCUCCUAGUACGAGAGGACCGGAGUGGACGCAUCACUGGUGUUCGGGUUGUCAUGCCAAUGGCACUGCCCGGUAGCUAAAUGCGGAAGAGAUAAGUGCUGAAAGCAUCUAAGCACGAAACUUGCCCCGAGAUGAGUUCUCCCUGAGACUUAAAGUCUCCUGAAGGAACGUUGAAGACGACGACGUUGAUAGGCCGGGUGUGUA
RNAcentral lists this ribosomal RNA (616 nucleotides) under Salmonella enterica. RNAcentral's name for it is "partial 23S ribosomal RNA". It matches the Rfam family "Bacterial large subunit ribosomal RNA", at positions 2261 to 2871 of the family's 2925-position model. The record is from RNAcentral. RNAcentral also lists the same sequence under 2 other names. Lineage: Bacteria; Pseudomonadati; Pseudomonadota; Gammaproteobacteria; Enterobacterales; Enterobacteriaceae.